AUGUGGCUUGCUUACUGGGCGUUCCAUGCAUGGCUUUCGAAAACUGGUGGUCGAGAUGCAGAUGUUGGUUCCGUUGUGUAAAGAAUUCGACGCAACGUGGUGUUCUAGUUGGGAUCAUGCCGACGCUGAUUUCUUGGAGACUCGAGAAGUGGAGGUGUGACACGUGUGUGCAGGGACGGCAUGAUUCUUUGGAGAAGAUUUGGUGUUCAAUCAAAUUUUGGUUGCAAGUCUUUUCGUCCAAGCUGCUGAAGGUAAGAGCUUUAUCUAAUAUAGAUCGUAGUAUUCUUUUUGAGUUGGGCAUUCCGAUGAAGGAGGUGGUAAUAAAGAGGCCGAAAAUAGUUGCGUAGUGUAAACCACGGGAAGGGUGGAUGAAAUUAAAUGUGGAUGGAUCAUGUAGGGGAAAUCUAAGUAGUUGUGGAGGGGGUGGGGUUAUAAGGGAUGAUAGAGGAAGAUUUUUGGCAGCCUUCUAUACUAAAUUUGGCUUUGGAACAAAUAACGAAGCUGAGUUAAAGGCGCUCAAUUGUGGUUUAGUCCUUUGUAAGGAGUUGGGAUUCCAAAAUAUUGUGAUUGAAAGUGAUCCAGCAUUGGUGAUUAAUUGGCUUAGGAAAAAGGAGUGCACAAUGUGGUAUCUAUGGGGCUUUUGGUUUGAAGUUAUGUAACGGUUGAAUGGUAUUCAAUACAUGGUGACACACCAAUUUAGGGAGGGGAAUAAAGUUGUUGAUUUCCUCUCUAGGCAGGGCGAGGAGGGGAUGGAUUGUAUUUAUAUGGAUUCUGUUGAAUUGCCUCGUCGUGCUUGAGGUUUGCUUUGGUUGGAUUUUCUGGGAUUGCCUAGUUUUAGGCUGUGAGUAGUUUGUAGUUGUUUAAGGGUUAUUGUUGGUGUCCCGGUGUAUUGGUUUAUUUGUUGGUUUGUUAUUCCUUGGUCAUAAGGUUGAGUUUGGUUGGACUUGUAACCACGGUUUCCCUCUACCAUAAGCGAUGAUUUAUUAAUAAAUGUUGGGAGGGGUCACUCUUGAAUACGUGACCCUGAAUCUUAACUAAAAA
Long non-coding RNA from Juglans microcarpa x Juglans regia, 1041 nucleotides. RefSeq lists it as uncharacterized. The record is from RefSeq and is a predicted model, not a curated record. Lineage: Eukaryota; Viridiplantae; Streptophyta; Magnoliopsida; Fagales; Juglandaceae. The transcript is spliced from 2 exons.